UUUCCUCUUUAAAAAGUUGUGGUAACUAUGGACUUCACUGAUUGUAUUCCGGUAACACUAGGACUGUUUUUUGGAACACACUGGAUAAAAUAUUAGGUUAGGACUAAAUCCUUUUUCUUUUCACUUUGAAGACAAUUAUCUUUAAUUUUCAAAAAAGCUCUUGAACCUUUCCCUCACCUAUUGUAGUGGUAGUCGAAUGAUUAACGAUAAGCUAAUUCAAUAGUUCUUUGGAAAUCACAGUGUUGGAAAGAUCAAAUGAUUUUCACUUUAAGUUUUUUUGAUGUUUUUAAUGUUUAAUUUAUUUUUGAGACAGAGAGACAGUACGAAAGGGGGAGGGACAGAGAGAGAAGGAGACAUAGAAUCCCAAGCAGGCUCCAGGCUCUGAGCUGUCAACACAGAGCCCGACGCAGGGCUCCAACUCACGAACCAUGAGAUCAUGACCUGAGCUGGAGUCGGAUGCUUAACGGGUUGAGCCACCCAGGUGCCCCGUUGGCUGAACUUUAAAUUGGACCUUACUUUUUUUCAUCUCAGAUUUUUUAAACUUUUAAGGUUAUAAUUUACAUCUUAAUGAGGUUAUGUAUAUUUUUUAUAUGUGACUCAUUUUUUUAAAGUUUAUUUUAAGAGAGAGCAUGCAUGCAUGCAGGUGGGGGAGGGGCAGAGAGCGAGGGAGAGAGAGGAUCCCAAGCAGGCUCCGUGCUGUCAGCGCAGAGCCCGACAUGGGGCUCGAUCUCAGGAACCAGGAGGUCACGACCUGAGCCGAGAGCAAGAGUUGGACGUUUAAGGGACUGAGCCACGCAGAGUCCCCAUGUGAUCUGUUUUUUGAGAGAGUAGAUUCAUUAAAGGGUUCUGCAACAAGUCUGCGUAUCCUAGUUGAGUUCAGGUCGACUAUUUAUUGAGAAACUGGCGAAGGAGUUCACGUCGUGACCGUGGCACGAAGUGUUCAAGAACGUUGUGGGUCUGCAGGUGGUACCUGUUGUGACUCAAAAGGACAGGAUCUUUCCUUCUGAAACCACAGACCGUCCAGUCUCAGCAGGCCUCUACUGGUCUGGCCUGGUCAUUAUACCUCUGCUUCCUAGAUGCUCUUUGAGGAGCGACCUGCCUUUACUGCUCACAAACUCUCAUCUGCAGGGUUUGGCUAAGGACUUUGAGAGGCAAAUGGGUGUUUUGAAUCCUCUGUUUCGAUCUGCAGCCUGCCUUUCUUUUGUGAGAAGAUGUGUGCAACUGUGGAAAAUGCUCGUCAUCACUGUGACGAAAGGAUUACUUCGAUCUUUAAACACGUAGGCAACUUUAGAUUCUCCCAGAACUUAGACGGGAUGCCUGGCUACAAGCCCGAGAGGAAACGUGUGGGAAGCGAUCACAAAAAAGACCACAGUGGUUCCUGUGAGAGUGAACCUGGCUCCUGGUGGCAGCAGAGUUCACGGUUAGGGUUCCUAUCUUUGUGAUGCUUCUUGGAAAGUCCCCCUUGUGCCAUGAUUUUACCCAAAGAUUUGUUGACAUUCAGGAAUGGAUUCGAAUGCUGCUCCUGGAUCUAGAGAAACUUUCCACUAUCAGAUUAAUUAAAGGAAACCUUUUUUAUUUUUUUUAAAUGUUUAUUUAUUUUUGAGAGAGGGAGACAGCAUAAGUGGGGGAGGGGCAGUGAGAGAGAGAGGGGGAGAGAGAGAGAGAGAGAGACAGAAUCUGAAACAGCCUCCAGGCUCUGAGCUCUCAGCAUAAAGCCCGAUAUGGAGCUCGAAGUCACGAACCGCAAGAUCAUGACCUGAGCCAAAGUUGGACACUUAACCGACUGAGCCACCCAGGUGCCCCAAGGAAACCUUUUUCUCAUGACACGUUCUUUGUUCAAUGUUGCCGUGUACUUGUGUGGAAAGUCUGAUUGCCACAUUACCUUAAUUUCCCCAGAGAACUGCGUUCCAGCAGCCCUCAGUGCUGACCAGAAUGGAAGGGCAAAGUAGUGAAUAAAAUUCAGUCAAAUAUAAAACACGUUACCGAGCUAGAUUUACUCGUCCGUGGGGAAAGUGACAAGAUGCUGAUAGAAAGUACACGUUUGGAGCUCACAAAAAACAUGAAACCUUUAAAUUAGGGAAGAAGAGCAUUGAAAGGACCUGUAACGCAUGUUUAUAAAAACGAACAUUUCUAAACCCAGAGCAGAGUGAGGGUGCUUCGAGGCCAUCAUGAGGACGGGGGGUGUUCUUUCACAAGUAAAUAAGCCAAAGCAGAAUUCUGCCCGGGAAGCAUGGGGGGGUCAUUUAGGAAUGAUGGACCCCGAGCGAGCGUGUCUUAAAGGGUUUGGUUCCCGACUGUGCUAUUGUGAGAAGCACCCUUGGGUGGCCCUGCCUAGUCUUGGGCCAUCACGUGUGUCUGGACCUGCCUUCAGACAAAACACUGAGGAGCCCGGGUCCUUCCUACCUUUUAUUUGUAUAUUGUUUCUGUUAGAACUUACGUGGCUACCCAGGUUUUGACCAGUUCUUGUUGUUCUAAAGUCUCCUGUCACAUCAGAUCCGUGAUCUCGUGAGCCUGUUCCCUGUAUAGAACUUUUUAAUUGAUUGCAAAGCCCCAUGUGUUAGAUGAAGUCCUGUGAAAUCACAGAUAUUUGUGAUCGACACAGAUGUCAAACCCUGCUCAACCGCGCGGCGGAAUAGGUUCCUAGAACAGGUGCUGCGGUGUUAUACGCGGCUUGAAGAGUUAAGGAGAGAGUUUCCAGAAUUAAGCAAGAUAGCCAAGGAAAGGAAAGAUAAUUAAAGGACAAGACGCAUUGACUUCAGAAAGCCCCCAUUUGCCUCGCUUCCUCUGCUUAUGUCCUCCCUCCAGGCCAAUGGUCUCGGAUGUGAGGGCUCAUCUUACUUCCAUCGUAAUUGAAGGAUGAUCCCUGGUCUUCUAACUAUGAUGUGUUAGUUGCGCACGUGCGGGGGACUGGCUGGCGAUCUCUGACUGUGCCCUGGUGGGGGGGGGUGCUGCCUGGGUCAUGCAGCUGGCAGAGAGGUUAGACAGCCACACUUCUCCGUUUAUUAGAGCACAGACGGUCAUCGGAACAGCCUAGGAAGAAACGUUUGUAUACGUCCACCCCGUGUCCACCCGUUGUAACGGGAUUUAAGGGUAGAGCAGAAGGAACUCUCACGGAACACUCUGUUGUUCCCACCGUGCUCCUGGCCACAUCCGCUUGAGAUGUGCGUCCCCAGCGGCGAAGCCGGGACCCACGUGGCAGUCCCGCACGGUCUGGUCUCUGACACAGAUUCGGUGAUGGGAGGGACUUCUGUCUUCACGCAGGACGCCAGCCUUGGCCGCAGCAAGAGGCUGAACAGGAUGGAGCAGAUCAAGGGGUUGUGGAUCAGGGAGGGGAGGCCAGGGGAAACCCCAAGUGUAGACGGGACCUGACAAGAUGCGGUUUACUGGGGCGGAGGGGAAGGAAAGCAAGCUCAUCUGGGGACGGUGUCAUCCAAGAGUCAGAUCUUUGACGGGUGGAUGCAGGGAGCGGUAAUCCUGAGGGGGUCUCGGGGGUCUGGGGGCGCUCUAUUCCAGACGAGCUGGUGGGGUCGCUAAAAGUAAAAAUCAAUGCAGUC
Panthera uncia (snow leopard) is the source of this 3554-nucleotide long non-coding RNA. RefSeq lists it as uncharacterized. Lineage: Eukaryota; Metazoa; Chordata; Mammalia; Carnivora; Felidae. The record is from RefSeq and is a predicted model, not a curated record. The transcript is spliced from 2 exons.